UUUCUCUUUUUUUUUUUUGAUAGGGAGUGACUCCAAAUUAAUUAAGAAGUCAAAGUUGCUAAUCAAGUACAUGUGCAAAGGUGAAAACUCAAAUUUCGUGGAACAAGACAUGGGUUCGAAUCCCAAUAGCCUCCUAUUGGGGUUAUAUUUACUCGUAGCAUCAUUCGUGCGUAGUGGGACCUCAGCUUAGGCCCUGACAUAGGUGCAGUGGAUUUUUCUAUAGAUAUUAGUAUGGUGUGAUAGGGCAAUGCUUCCUGGUAGAGGUGACGGAAUACCAUGCCUACACUUCCAUGUUUAUAGGGAAAAAAAGGCCUCAUGCAAC
Molecule: long non-coding RNA, 322 nt
Filed under: Actinidia chinensis (golden kiwifruit)
Lineage: Eukaryota; Viridiplantae; Streptophyta; Magnoliopsida; Ericales; Actinidiaceae
Description: long non-coding RNA (ACHI_LNC002239)
Source: RNAcentral